GGAGUUUGGGCCGUGUCUCAGUCCCAAUGUGGCCGUUCUACCUCUCAGUACGGCUACUGAUCGUUGCCUUGGUGAGCCCUUACCUCGCCAACUAGCUAAUCAGACGCGGGCCCAUCCUGUACCUAUAAAUAUUUGACCGGUCUAUCAUGCGGUAGUCCGAUGUUAUGCGGUGUUAGCAGUCAUUUCUAACUGUUAUCCCCCUGUACAGGGUAGGUUACCCACGCGUUACUCACCCGUCCGCCACUAAGCUGAUAAAAGCAAGCUUCUCAUCAGCUCCGUUCGACUUGCAUGUGUUAAGCACGCCGCCAGCGUUCAUC
This 317-nucleotide ribosomal RNA is filed under the name uncultured Lachnospiraceae bacterium. RNAcentral's name for it is "partial 16S ribosomal RNA". Lineage: Bacteria; Bacillati; Bacillota; Clostridia; Lachnospirales; Lachnospiraceae. The record is from RNAcentral.